GAUGAACGCUGGCGGCGUGCCUAAUACAUGCAAGUCGAGCGAACAGACGAGGAGCUUUCUCCUCUGACGUUAGCGGCGGACGGGUGAGUAACACGUGGAUAACCUACCUAUAAUCCUUGGAUAACUUCUGGAAACCGGAGCUAAUACCGGAUAAUAUAUUGCACCGCAUGGUUCAAUAGUGAAAGACGGUUUUGCUGUCACUUAUAGAUGGAUCCGCGCCGCAUUAGCUAGUUGGUAAGGUAACGGCAUACCAAGGAAAAGAGGCGUAGACGACCUGAGAGGGUGAUCAGCCAAACGGGAAAUGAGACAGGGACCAGAGACCGAAGGGAGGAAGCAGGAGGGAAUAAUGCGCAAUGGGCGAAAGAAUGACGGAGCAACGCCGCGAGAGGGAUGAAGGUCAUCGGAUCGUAAAACUCGGUUAUUAGGGAAGAACAAAUGUGUAAGUAGAAAUGCACGUAUUGAAGGUACAUAAUCAGAAAGCCACGGCUAACUACGUG
RNAcentral lists this ribosomal RNA (497 nucleotides) under uncultured bacterium. RNAcentral describes it as "partial 16S ribosomal RNA". It matches the Rfam family "Bacterial small subunit ribosomal RNA", at positions 28 to 507 of the family's 1533-position model. The record is from RNAcentral.